Molecule: ribosomal RNA, 408 nt
Filed under: uncultured bacterium
Lineage: Bacteria
Description: bacterial SSU rRNA
Rfam family: Bacterial small subunit ribosomal RNA
Source: RNAcentral
AGAGUUUGAUCCUGGCUCAGGACGAACGCUGGCGGCAGGCUUAACACAUGCAAGUCGAACGCUCGUAGCAAUACGGGAGUGGCAGACGGGUGAGUAACGCGUGGGAACAUACCCUCCGGUUCGGAAUAGCUCAGGGAAACUUGGAUUAAUACCGGAUACGGCUGAGAGGCGAAAGAUUUAUCGCCGGAGGAUUGGCCCGCGUUCGAUUAGCUAGUUGGUGAGGUAACGGCUCACCAAGGCGAUGAUCGAUAGCUGGUCUGAGAGGAUGAUCAGCCACAUUGGGACUGAGACACGGCCCAAACUCCUACGGGAGGCAGCUGUGGGGAAUAUUGGACAAUGGGCGCAAGCCUGAUCCAGCCAUGCCGCGUGAGUGAUGAAGGCCUUAGGGUUGUAAAGCUCUUCGCUCGG